This 468-nucleotide ribosomal RNA is filed under the name uncultured bacterium. Its description in RNAcentral is "partial 16S ribosomal RNA". It matches the Rfam family "Bacterial small subunit ribosomal RNA", at positions 28 to 507 of the family's 1533-position model. The record is from RNAcentral.
GAUGAACGCUGGCGGCGUGCUUAACACAUGCAAGUCGAACGGAAAGGCCCUGCUUUUGUGGGGUUCUCGAGUGGCGAACGGGUGAGUAACACGUGAGUAACCUGCCCUUGACUUUGGGAUAACUUCAGGAAACUGGGGCUAAUACCGGAUAGGAGCUCCUGCUGCAUGGUGUGGGUUGGAAAGUUUCGGCGGUUGGGGAUGGUCUCGCGGCUUAUCAGCUUGUUGGUGGGGUAGUGGCUUACCAAGGCUUUGACGGGUAGCCGGCCUGAGAGGGUUACCGGCCACAUGGGGACUGAGAGACGGCGCAGACUCCUACGGGAGGCAGCAGGGGGGAAUAUUGCACAAUAGGCGGGAGCCAGAUGCGGCAACGCCGCGUGCGGGAUGACGGCCUACGGGUUGUAAACAGAUUUGGCCUGUGACGAAGAGUGAGUGACGGUAAUGGGUAAAGAAGCACCGGCUAACUACGUG